Molecule: ribosomal RNA, 484 nt
Filed under: uncultured bacterium
Lineage: Bacteria
Description: partial 16S ribosomal RNA
Rfam family: Bacterial small subunit ribosomal RNA
Source: RNAcentral
AUUGAACGCUGGCGGCAUGCUUUACACAUGCAAGUCGAACGGCAGCGCGGGCUUCGGCCUGGCGGCGAGUGGCGAACGGGUGAGUAAUGCAUCGGAACGUGCCCAGUAUUGGGGGAUAGCCCGUCGAAAGCCGGAUUAAUACCGCAUACGACCUGAGUGUGAAAGCGGUGGACCGAAAGUCCUCGCGCUUUUUUAUCUGCCGAUGUCGGAUUAGCUAGUUGGUGUGGUAAAGGCUUACCAAGGCUACGAUCCGUAGCUGGUCUGAGAGUCCGACCAGCGAAACUGGAAGUGAGAAAGGGCCCAGAGUACUAAGGGAGGAAGCAGUGGGGAAUAUGGGAAAAAGGGGGAAACCAUGAUACAGCAAUGCCGCGGGCGGGAAGAAGGCCUGAGGGUUGUAAACAGAUUUUGUGAGGGAAGAAAACAUCUGGGAUAAUAAACCGGGGGGAUGACGGUACCGGAAGAAUAAGCACCGGCUAACUACGUG